This 477-nucleotide ribosomal RNA is filed under the name uncultured bacterium. RNAcentral's name for it is "partial 16S ribosomal RNA". It matches the Rfam family "Bacterial small subunit ribosomal RNA", at positions 28 to 507 of the family's 1533-position model. The record is from RNAcentral.
GAUGAACGCUGGCGGCGUGCCUAACACAUGCAAGUCGAACGAAGCGCCUUACCGGAUUCUUCGGAUGAAGGUCUGGUGACUGAGUGGCGGACGGGUGAGUAACGCGUGGGUAACCUGCCCUGUACAGGGGGAUAACAGCUGGAAACGGCUGCUAAUACCGCAUAAGCGCACGAGGAGACAUCUCCUUGUGUGAAAAACUCCGGUGGUACAGGAUGGGCCCGCGUCUGAUUAGCUGGUUGGCAGGGUAACGGCCUACCAAGGCAACGAUCAGUAGCCGGUCUGAGAGGAUGAACGGCCACAUUGGAACUGAGACACGGUCCAAACUCCUACGGGAGGCAGCAGUGGGGAAUAUUGCACAAUGGGGGAAACCCUGAUGCAGCAACGCCGCGUGAGUGAAGAAGUAUUUCGGUAUGUAAAGCUCUAUCAGCAGGGAAGAUAAUGACGGUACCUGACUAAGAAGCUCCGGCUAAAUACGUG